GUAUUGUGAAUGAAAGGUGAAAAGAAUACCGAAAGGUAGGUGAAACAGAAUUAAAAC
Molecule: ribosomal RNA, 57 nt
Filed under: Lotharella globosa
Lineage: Eukaryota; Cercozoa; Chlorarachniophyceae
Description: partial Bacterial large subunit ribosomal RNA
Source: RNAcentral